UACAACAUUCUCGGCGUGCCGGUUGCAGCAGGGAUUCUCUACCCUUUGAUCGGCAUACGUCUCCCGCCAUGGCUUGCUAGUGCUUGCAUGGCGGCUUCUUCGGUGAGCGUUGUCUGCUCCUCGCUCUUGCUGCAGUACUAUAACAAGCCUCUGCGUGCUAACGUUACUUGAGACGACUCAUCUUCGGGUUUUGCUCUUGACCAAAGGGAAAUCUCACAUUUUGAUCUGGCACUGUUUUAUGCAUUCCUCAAUAAUAGUUCUGAAAUCUCACAUUUUGAUCUUUGUAUUGGUAAAAGUAGUUCUGAAAAUUGAUGAUAUAGUUUUCUAUUAAUUACCAAUACAUAGGUGCGUUUGGAACGUAGGGAAUAAUUAUUUAUUACUACUCCCUCCUCCUACUCCAUGAAUAGCAUAACUGUUUUUUACACGGACUUUUACAAAAAGUUAUUUAGAGUAUUGAUAAUGCAGAAAAGAUUUUCGUAAAGAAUAUUGUUAAAUAUAUCGUGAGUAAAUAAUGUAAGUUAUAAGGAUAAAUUUAUAAAAAUUAUGUGUAGAUUAGUAUUCAAAGGUAACGUGUACAUAAAUUUGGAGGACAUAUUAAAAAUGAAAGGUAUACAUCAGGGAGAAUACUAAAUUAAUUGUUGAAACAAUAACAAAGUAGUAAAAGUUUAGAUAAUCUAUUGACUAUUGGUGAAGACUCACUACUAGCUCCUUAUCCUUAUCCCUACCUUUUUACUCUCACCACUGCUCAAACCUCUCAAAUAUCUAUAACUUUCGCUAUCUAGCUUAGCAAAUCAGAGUGUUCACCGACAACCAAACCAUCAAAGCUUCGAAUUGUUGCAAUGGCAGAAGCAGUAUUGUCGAUUGCUCUAGAAACCUUGCGUGAUUUGUUGUUGGAAGAGGCAAAGUUUUUGUAUGGCGUGGGCGAUGAAGUGAAGGAGCUCGAGUGGCAGCUCAAAGAGAUGAAGUGUCUCAUCAAAGAUGCCGACAGAAGACGACAUGAAAGCGAAACCAUUUUGAAUUGGAUCUCAGAGAUCAAAGAUCUUGUGUACAGAGCCGAAGCUGCCAUUGAAAGACACACAGCUCAUCAAGUGUGUUCAAGGAGAAGACGAGGGCGAGGACUGAGACAGCUCAUCUGCAGAUAUUCUUGUAGUUUGGAGGAAUACAUGUCGAUCCACCAACUAGGCUCGGAGAUUUCACCAAUCAAAUCCCGUCUUGAAAGGAUAAACAAGGAAAUGUUAAAAAGUGGGAUAAAGAAGGGCAUCAUCAACAAUACAGAUGAAGGGGAAAGCUCCUCCGCCAACAACAGGGCAAGGAUGAGCUUUCCUGAAUUCGUGAUCGGAGACUGUUUUGUGGGGAUGGAGAAUGAGCUGAAGCAGCUUGAUCAUCUCUUAGUGGAAGAGAAAGAUCAUCGAUUAAUUUCAGAGUGGGGAAUGGGGGGAUCAGGCAAGACCACCAUUGCCAAAAAACUCUACAACGACAACAAGACUAGCUUUGAUCUUUCUGCAUGGGUUUGCAUUAGUCAGCAGUGUCAGAGUUUUAAAUCAGUUUUGGGAGGAUGUUCUGAGGCAGCUAGAGCCACAAAUAAGAGAGGACUUUAUUCCAAGUCUGAGCGAGUGGGAGUUGAAGGAGCGACUGUGCAAGAUACAAAGAGAGAAGCGAUGCCUCAUUGUUGUGGACGAUCUUUGGAAAGUUUCUCAUUGGAAUGAGUUGAAGCAUCCCUUCCUUGUCCAUGAUUUGCGGAGCAAAAUCUUGAUCACCACGCGCGAACAGGAAGUUGCAGAGAUUGGGUGCCCUAUAAAACUUGGGCUUCUAAAUAUGGAAGAUGCUUUGGAACUACUCAAGAAGAAAGCAUUUCCCCAUACCAACAUUCCAGGUUACUUCAUAUGUUCUAGUUGAGUUUUGUGCUACUUUACAAAUUAAUCAUAUACCCCAUCUUUUUAAGUGUUGCAUUGCUUCUUCCUCACUCAAGCCAAAUGUUGUGCUGUGGCAGCGUAUAAAUUUAUUGAUUUUCACUGAAUGCAGAGUUUGCAUUGGAAGAAAAUUUUGAGAAAAUAGGGAAAGAAAUGGUGCAGAAAUGUGGGUAUUUGCCGUUGGCAAUUUCUUUACUUGGCGGGGUCUUGAGAAUGAAAAAUUCGAUGAUGGAGUGGGAGUUAGUAAAUGAGGAUAUCAAAGAAAUCAUAUAUAGAGAUGAAAGUGAGAUUGAUGGAGUGCUAAAUUUAAGCUAUGAAAGUCUACCCUAUUAUUUGAAGCCUUGCUUUCUCUAUAUGGGUAUAUUUCAAGAGGACGAAGAUAUAGAUGUUGAGGAUCUAUAUAGGAUGUGGAGAGCACAAGGCAUGAUUUCAUUUGAGAAUAUUCGAGACAAGGACAAAACUUUGAGGGAAAUCGCGGAGCUCUACUUGGGUGAAUUGGCCUCCAGGUCCAUCGUCCAAGUUGACAUUAAUGACUACUAUGGUGUCACACCGGGGGAAAAAUAUUCGAGGUGCAAACUUCACGAUGUAGUAAGAGAACUAUGUUUAAAAUUGGUGAAAAGGGAGGAUUUUUGGUGUGGAGAGUUUGGUGUAUCAAAGUGGGAAACUUAGUACCUUACUACGGCAAGCUUCCUCUCAUAUGAGAAUACGACAUUUGGCUAUCAAUUUCAAAAGUGAAGUCCAAGUGCAACCUGAUGAGCUUACAGUCACUUCUGGAGAAGAUAGUAGCAAACAUUUAAGGUCUCUUCGAAUGGUCAAUUGCAUAUAUCCGAGUGUUGUUGAGUUUCCCCCACAAAGUAUAGUUGAUUUUCAAAAAUUCAAACUACUGAGAGAUCUAGUUAUAGAUGGAUUCAAAUUUGCAGGAAGAAAGUUACCGAGUGGAAUCAGUAAUCUUGUUCACCUAAGACGUUUGUGUUUAGAAAGAUGUGAAUUUGAUAAGCUAACGUCGUCCAUAAGAGACUUGGUAUACAUGGAUACCCUUGAUUUAAAUUUUUCGAGAAAUGUUGAAGUUCCAAAUGUUUUUAAGGAGAUGCUAUGUAUGAAAACACUUGUUUCUUCCCACGUACGAUGAUGAAAAGAUUGGAAGUUAUCGAUUAACAUUGGACGAGGAAGUGGUUGAAUUGGAGACCCUAUGGGGGUUAGAUAGUAGAGUGCAUGAGUUAAAAUGUAUGAACAGAAUGAAGAAUUUGCGAAAAUUUUCAUCAGAAAUACACGACAAUGAAAGCUUGUCAGCCAUGAUAGACGCCAUUGCUACCAUGGACAAGUUAGUAGAUUGUAAAGUUGAAAUCAAAGAGGGUUGCGAGUUAGGAACAAAUGAGGGAGUGUUAAUGUUGAAGAAGGCACUCACAUGUCCCAAUCUUCAUGACUUAAUUGUGGAUUGAAGUUAAGUUAGGGAAGGCCCUGGCAGAGUGCGGCCGUGACUUCAUCAGCUCUAAACUUACAAGUUUGGACCUAUAUGAAUGUGAGAUUGAUGAUGAUCCAAUGGGGAUACUAGGGAAGCUUCCUUGCUUGGUAGAAUUGUGUUUAUGGAGGAAAUCAUUUGUGUGGGAGGAGAUGACGUGUCCAUUAAACAGUUUUCCUCGCCUCAAGAAGCUUAUUCUAUAUCAAUUACCAAAGUUGAGGGAGUGGAGAGUGAAGGCAGGAGCCAUGCCCCUUCUCUCUAAAAUAGUGAUUUGGGAUUGUGCUAGUCUGAAGAUGCUUCCAGAUGGAUUGAGCGGCAUUUCUACUCUUCGGGAACUGUAUAUCUAUAAAAUGCCAGAAUUGGGGAAGAGGGCAUCGGCAUCGGGAGAGGAUUUCCACAAAGUCACCCAUGUCCCUUCAAUUAUCAUCCAUGACUAUAACUAGCUAGUUUAGUCUCCUAUAAAGAGAACACUUUUGUAUAAUUGUUGAUUAUAGGUUGAUCACUGGUUCUGUGGAGAAUAACUGAUUAUCACUACCACUUUUGAUGCUCAAACAAAACAUUUUACCUUAUGUUUUUCGGUCAUGAGGUUUGAAGUUCAACUCAUUGUAAGGGUGUAUCACAUUUUUUUAUAUAUAUAUAGUUUUUUUGUUAAUUUUUUCCCCCUUCGAGAUGCAGUCUUGUUGUUGCAAUUCUCAAGUGUUCCUCUUUCCACUCUUCGCACUCUUUGUUAAAUUAAUUACUUGGAUUGUAUUAUCCAAGUAAUUCAAUUGUGUUUGUUAAUAUGAUAUUCUAUAUUCGAAGUGCUAUUCUGUUUGAAUUGAAUUGAUGGUUUGUAAUGACAAAUGUACAACUCAAUAUGUUAAUUUUGAGCUCAAAUUUAGUUAUAUUCUUAGCUAACCAAGUUAAAGUUAGGCUCGCUAACAAACCAAGCUCAAGCUUCGUUACAAAUGUCAAGUGGGCUUUGUUGUGAUCAAAAGUUAAACGAGUCGAACUCAAACCUGACCCAACCUGAUUUAUUUACAUUCAUAAUUUCUUCAAGAACGACGAUGAUUGUCUCGUCUUCACCUACGAGUGCCCUAUUAUGUACACCGCACCAGAACAGAUUUGACACAGAAAAAAAAACAAGAAAAUUUUGUAUAUAAUAAUAUUCAUUAAGCAAUCUAGACCGCAAGACAAAUUAAUCGAAUACAAAAUAAGGUUCAAUUAAAAACUUAAGCUAAAAUUGAGGUAGGGCCAGACUACUUAUCAGCCCAAUUGCAAUGCAAGGGUGAGUCUAACCCAAUUUCUUUCUUCUCUUUCUUUCGGUAAAAUCCUCAAAACCUUUUCGGCCCACUCUGAAAUAAAUGGGCCCAUAUCAUAAUUAACAGAUCUAAAACAACAUAAAAUUCAGCCCACAAAUUCUCAGGCCCAACAAAACUUCAAUUUCAUAUUAUGAUGGUUAAUUCAACACCUAUUUUAAACUGUCUUAACAGAAAAGGAUGUAUUCAUAUCAUAGACCUGGAUUAUCUGUAUUAAUAACAUUAAUGAACUCUUAUUGGCUUAAAGCGCCUUGAUUACUCACAACCUUUCAUUAUGCCAGCUAAUGAUGAAUCACCUUAUCAUUUUUAAAACCAUAUUAUUCAGUUUUCGUCGUUGAGAAAUGGUCUGAAGAGUUGGUUCCCUGACAUCAGAUAAGUAUUUUAAAUGCAUAUUCCCUUUGAAUAAGUGGAAUAAUGAGGGAGAAUUAUUGAAUGAAGAAGAAGACAAUUGAUUCAACACAAAACAAGUGGAAUUGAUAAAGAUAAUGUGCUUUCUCAGAAAGCUAAACUACUUUCAAGCUUUUCUCACGAACAAAAGUCAAACCUCUCCCUCUUUUCUCAGAUCCUAAUUUGUCUGUAAUCCAAAUUCUUCGCAAUCUCGAUUGAAGAAUUUGUAUUCACGACAACAAGCUCUUUAUCCUUAUUCCUCUCUAUAUACUCCCACCGGUAGUAAAUAAAUUUGACCAAAGAAAUUUGAGUUUGGAAUUCCUCCGAUGGCAGAAGCAGCAGUGUCCAGUGCGCUACAAACCUUGGGCGUUUAUUUGUUGGAAGAAGCAAGGCUUUUAUAUGGUGUGAAAAACAAAGUGAGGGAGCUCGAGACGCAGCUCAAAGAGAUGAAGUGUUUCCUCGCAGAUGCUGACAAAAGGCGACAUGAAAGCAAUACCAUUUUCAAUUGGAUCUUGGAGAUCAAAGAUCUUGCGUACAGAGCGGAAGAUGCCAUUGAAAGACAUGAAGCUUAUCAAGUCAUGUCUUCAGGAGAAAGACGAGGCCUCAUACUGCAGCUCCUCUGCAACUGUAUCAGUGUUUUGCAAGAAUGGUACUCGAUCCACCUAUUAGGCUCGGAGAUUUCAAUAAUCAAAUCUCGUAUUGAAAGGAUAAACAAGGAAAUGGUAGACAGUGGCAUAAAGAAGAGCAUCAUCAACAAUACAGGUGGAGGGGAAAGCUCGUCCGCCAACAACAGGGCAAGGAUGACCUUCCCCGAAUUCGAGGUCGGAGACUGUUUUGUGGGGAUGGAGGAUGAGCUGCAGCAGCUUGGUAAUCUCCUAAGGCAAGACAACAAGGAGCGAGUUAUUUCAGUGUGGGGAAUGGGGGGUUUAGGCAAGACCACCAUUGCGAGAAAGCUCUACAACGAGACCAAGAUCAGCUUUGAUCGUUCCGCAUGGGUUUGCAUCUCUCAGCAAUGUCAGUUUCAAUCAGUUUGGGAGGAUGUUCUCAAGCAGCUGGAGGUUCAAAACAGGAACGAUGAUCCACAAAUAAGGGAGGACGUUGUUACAAGGCUGAGCAAGUCAGAGUUGAACGAGCGACUAUGCAAGAUACAAAGAGAAAAGCGAUGCCUUAUUGUUUUGGACGAUCUAUGGGAAACUUCUCAUUGGAAUGAGUUGAAGCAUCCAUUCAUUGUCGAUGAUUUGAAGAGCAAAAUCUUGGUUACCACACGGCAACAAGAGGUUGCAGAGAAGGGAUUCGCAGUAGAACUUCGGUGUCUAAACAUGGAACAUGCUUGGGAACUACUCAAGAGGAAAGCAUUUCCCCAAACAUACAUUCCAGGUCACUUCAUAUAUUCUAAUUGACUAUUGUAAAUUGAUUAUAUAUAAUAUUUUUAGUUAUUUCAUCCUCGCUUCCUCACUCAUGCCAAAUGAGGUGGGAUGAAGUGCCUACGCUACUAAAAAAAUGCUUAUAGAGGACUCUCAUCUAUGCACGUUUAGAAUUAAGUGUCAUAAAGUGAGGUGUCAUCUAUACCUCUAGACGCGAUGACGCUCAAUGACGUUAUGUAUGCGCUCAUACAUGACGGCUUAUAGAGUAUACAUGAUACUUAUGAAGCAUCAUGUUUGAGACUAUAUAUGACAAUUCUGAAGUGUCAUAUAUAGGAUAAAACAUGUCAAUUGUCAUGAUACAUUGAUGACGUUUUUUAACUGUCACCUAUAACAACUACAUAUGACGCAAUCUAAAUGUCAUAUAUCGAUAAANAAAAAAGUCAUAUAUAUGAAAAAGUGUCAUAUUUAUUUACAAGAUGACAUUAUCUAUAAUAUACUAGAUGACGAUUAUUAGUAAUUGUCAUCUAUUUAUGUUAGGCAUCGUGUUUGAUGUUUUAGAUGAUAGGUUUUAACCGUCAUCUAUUUUUAUUUUUUUUUGAAAUGUUAAAAUAUCAAAUUAAAAAAAGCAAAAAUAAAUUUAAAGAAAAACCUAAAACAAAUUUUAAGAAAACACUACUAUACAUGACGCAUUGUAUAAAGUGUCAUGUAUAUUAAUUUAAAACAUGCAAAUAUAUGACACACUUAUGAAAAUUUCAUGUAUAUUAUAAAUACAUGAUACUUCUUGUAGAAACGUGAUAUAUUUCAAUCUUGACACUUCAUACAUGAUACUCUUUUUUCAAAAUGUUAUGCAAGUAAAAAAAGGUGCUUAUAGAUGAUUGCUUUUUAGAAAAACGUGCUAUUUAUGUGAAUUUUUCUGCUAAAUUAAAAUUGUUUGAUGUGGAAGUGUAUAAAAAUUAAUCAUUUUCACUAUUUCGAUCGAAUGCAGAUCAGUUUGCAUUGGAAGAAAAUUUUGAGAAAAUUGGGAAAGAAAUGGUGCGGAAAUGUGGGUAUUUGCCGUUGGCAAUUUCUUUGCUCGGUGGGAUCUUGAGAAUGAAAAAUUCAAUGAUGGAGUAGAAAUGAGUAAAAAAAAUAUAAAGAGACAUAAAAGGAGAUUGAUGGAGUGCUAAAUUUAAGCUAUGAAAGUCUACCCUAUUAUUUGAAGCCAUGCUUUCUCUAUAUGGGUUUAUUUCAAGAGGACGAAAUCAUACAUCCUAAGCAACUAUAUAGGAUGUGGAUAGCACAAGGCAUGAUUUCAUAUGAGAAUAUCCAAGACAAGGACAAAACUUUAAUGGACACCGCCGAGCUCUACUUGGGUGAGUUGGCCUCCAGGUCCAUCGUCCAAGUUUAUAUUGACAAUGGUAUAUAUCAAGAAAAUAUACAACAUGCGGACUUCAUGAUGUAGUAAGAGAACUAUGUUUGAAAUUGGGGAAAAGGGAAGAUUUUGGUGUGCAGAGUUUGGAGCAUCAAACUGGGAAACUUAGUACCUUACUACGGCAAGCUUCCUCCCAUAUGAAAAUACGACAUUUGGCUAUCCAUUUCAAAAGUGACGUCAAACUGGAACUUGACGAGCUUGGAGAAGAUAGUUGCAAACAUUUAAGGUCUCUUCAAAUGUUCAGUCAAAGAAAUGUUGUUGAGAUUCUCCAACAAAGUAUCGUUGAUUUUCAGAAAUUCAAAUUGCUGAGAGAUCUAGGUAUGUAUGGAUUCAAAUUUGCAGGAAGAAAGUUACCGAAAGGAAUCACUAAUCUUGUUCACCUUAGACGUUUGCGUUUACGAUUUUGUGAAUUUGAUAAGCUACCGUCGUCUAUAGGGAAUUUGAUAUACAUGGAUACCCUUGAUUUAAAUUAUUCGAGGAAUGUUGAAGUUCCAAGUGUUUUUAAGGAGAUGCUACGUUUAAAGCACAUGUUUCUUCCUGAGUAUGAUGGGGAAAGUAUUGGAAGUUAUCGAUUAAUAUUGGAUGAGGGGGUAGAUGAGUUGGAGAGUCUAGUGGCGUUGGAUAGUAGAGUGCAUGAAUUAAAAUGUAUGGGCAAAAUGAAGAAUCUCCGACGUUUUGAAAUAUUCAUACACGACAAUGAAAGCUUGUCAGCCGUGAUAGACGCCAUUGCUACCAUGGACAAGUUAGUAGAUUGUAAAGUUGAAAUCAAAGAGGGUUGCGAGUUAGGAACAAAUGAGGGAGUGUUGAACAAGAUAUUCACAUGUCCCAAUCUUCAUUCCUUGUGGAUUGAAGUUAAGUUAGGGAAGGCGCUGGCAGAGUGCGGGAGUGACUUCAUCAGUUCAAAACUUAUAACUUUGUUCCUGUCAGAAUGUGAGAUUGAGGAUGAUCCAAUGGGGAUACUGGGGAAGCUUCCUUGCUUGACAAAUUUGUAUUUAUGGACGAAAUCAUUUGUGGGGGAGGAGAUGACGUGUCCAUCAAACAGUUUUCCUCGCCUCAAGGAGUAGGGCUGGGAAUCGGGUCGGGUUCGGGUACCCUACCCGAAAAAAUCGGGUACCCGAACCCGAAAAUUGACCAAAACCCACACCCGAUCCCGAACCCGAUUUUGAAAUCGGGUACCCUAAUACCCGAGUCGGGUAUCCGAUUCGGGUAUUCGGGUACCCGAAAUACCCGAUAGUUUUUAGAAAAGCAGCAGCAAAUUCAGUCGAAAAGCUGACCAAAUUCGAUAACCAAAUUCAUACACCAAAUCAGACCAAAUUCAUACACCAAAUCAGACAUUCCAUCACAAUAAACUAGAAUACAGAAAUGAGAAAACCAAAUUCACAGUUCGAAGUUGAGGGCGGUGGCUGCCGAGGCCCCUGCUGUCCACGGCGGCGGCGACUCCGGGCGAGGCGGUUGCUGGCAGUCGACGGCGACUUCAGGACCACCAGCAGCUCCGAGCGGCGGCGUUGCUUCAGCGGUGGCGACGUCGGCCGAAUUUGAGAAAAACAGCGGCAGCAGCGUCGUGAGUGUGUGCGUUUCAGUGAAGGAGAGAGAGAGAUGUCGUGUGAACGACAGAACGAGAACAGAGAGAGGGAGACGGCCGAAGGGAUGAAUUGGGAGGGAUGGGAAGGCCGAAUUGGGAGGGAUUCAAGGGAAUUGGGGAAUCGGGAAUUGGGAAGUGGGAGGGAUGGGGAAUUGGAAUUGGGAAUUGGGGAAUUGGAAGUGGGCCGAAUUGGCCUAUUGGAUUACAGCUGUGAUAUAUUAAGUUAAUUAAUUCGGGUAUUCGGGUAUACCCGAUACCCGAUCGGGUAUACCCGAUACCCGAUUUUUAGACCACCCUAAUACCCGAACCCGACCCGAUACCCUAAUUUUUCGGGUAUCGGAUACCCUAUACCCGAUUUUUUCGGGUCGGGUAGUCGGGUACCCGAUACCCGAUACCCUAUCUUCCCACCCCUAUCAAGGAGCUUGAGCUAUAUCAAUUACCAAAGUUGAGGGAGUGGAGAGUGGAGGCAGGAGCCAUGCCCCUUCUCUCUCUAUGGUCGAUCCACGAUUGUUCUAGUCUGGAGAUGAUUCCAGAUGGAUUAAAUACCAUUUCUACCCUUCAGGUACUGAGAAUUAUUAAAAUGCCGGUAUUGGGGGAGAGGGUAUCGCGAUCGGGAGAGGAUUUCCACAAAGUCAGACAUAUCCCUAAAAUUAACAUCAGUAACUAGUCUCCUCCCAGGUAAGGAAUCUCAUUUAUCCCAUUUUUUAAUGUUAGUUGUAAUAUAUACUUUCACCAUAUUUAACGCUUGUAAUUACCAAACUGGCAGAAAACAUUAGUUCCAACUGGGGUUUUCAAUAAAUUACAAUUGCUUGGAUAGCAGACCACAUAACUUCAUCUGCCCACUAAAAGUAUGUGUGUUUGUUAUUCUUAUUUUUUAUUUCUUUACGUUCAAGGGUGAAUGAAUCGGCGAACGAAGACGAUGUCGAGAAUCCGGCUCAACUACAUGUGGGCGCUGGGGUACAACAUUCUUGGUGUGCCGGUUGCAGCAGGGAUUCUCUACCCUUUGAUCCGCAUACGUCUCCCGCCAUGGCUUGCUAGUUCUUGCAUGGCGGCUUCGGUGAGCGUUGUCCGUUCCUCGCUCUUGCUGCAGUACUAUAACAAGCCUCUGCGUGCUAACGUUGCUUGAGACGAUUUAUCUUCGAGAUGGCCUAAUGGUAGAAUGGCCGAACCCCACGACUAGCCGGUCGCGGGGUUCGAUCUUGAUCGAGAGAAUCUCACAUAUUGAUCUGUUUUUUUGCAUUCCUCAAUAAUAGUUGUGAAAUCUCACAUUUUGAUCUGUUUGAUUUAUUGGUAAAUGUAGAUCUGAAAUUGAUGGAGAUAUAGUCGUUGUGUGAUGAUUAGCAUUUUCUUAUGAUUAUGAUAUGAAUUGUGAACAUGAGACAACAUGUUUGGUAUACACGAAGUCGUUGUUUAUACGUUAGUAAUGGCACUUGGUAUCCUUUACUUCAACUUUGAUGUCUCAUUUUGUGU
RNAcentral lists this long non-coding RNA (10881 nucleotides) under Salvia miltiorrhiza (redroot sage). Its description in RNAcentral is "long non-coding RNA (SMIL_LNC005578)". Lineage: Eukaryota; Viridiplantae; Streptophyta; Magnoliopsida; Lamiales; Lamiaceae. The record is from RNAcentral.